RNAcentral lists this ribosomal RNA (397 nucleotides) under Microcoleus vaginatus. RNAcentral describes it as "bacterial SSU rRNA". It matches the Rfam family "Bacterial small subunit ribosomal RNA", at positions 398 to 824 of the family's 1533-position model. The record is from RNAcentral. Lineage: Bacteria; Bacillati; Cyanobacteriota; Cyanophyceae; Oscillatoriales; Microcoleaceae.
CGCGUGGGGGAGGGCUCUUGGGUUGUAAACCCCUUUUCUCUGGGAAGAACCGAUGACGGUACCAGAGGAAUCAGCAUCGGCUAACUCCGUGCCAGCAGCCGCGGUAAGACGGAGGAUGCAAGCGUUAUCCGGAAUGAUUGGGCGUAAAGCGUCCGCAGGUGGCAGUUCAAGUCUGCUGUCAAAGACCGGGGCUCAACCUCGGAAAGGCAGUGGAAACUGAACAGCUAGAGUAUGGUAGGGGCAGAGGGAAUUCCCGGUGUAGCGGUGAAAUGCGUAGAGAUCGGGAAGAACAUCGGUGGCGAAGGCGCUCUGCUGGACCAUAACUGACACUCAGGGACGAAAGCUAGGGGAGCGAAUGGGAUUAGAUACCCCCCGUAAACGAUGGAUACUAGGUGUU